This 334-nucleotide ribosomal RNA is filed under the name uncultured eukaryote. RNAcentral's name for it is "partial 18S ribosomal RNA". It matches the Rfam family "Eukaryotic small subunit ribosomal RNA", at positions 1470 to 1796 of the family's 1831-position model. The record is from RNAcentral.
CCCUUAGAUGUCCGGGGCCGCACGCGCGCUACACUGAAGGAAUCAGCGUGGCUUUCUCCCUGACCCGAAAGGGUUGGGAAACCCGUUGAAUCUCCUUCGUGAUAGGGACUGGGGCUUGAAAUUGUUCCCCAUGAACGAGGAAUUCCCAGUAAGCGCGAGUCAUAAGCUCGCGUUGAUUACGUCCCUGCCCUUUGUACACACCGCCCGUCGCUACUACCGAUUGAACGGUUUAGUGAGGGCCUCGGAUUGGUCUCGGCCCGCUCUUUACCGGGCGGCGCCGUUGGUCGAGAAGACGCUCGAACUUGAUCGUUUAGAGGAAGUAAAAGUCGUAACA